GACGGGUGGAGUAAUGUCUGGGAAACUGCCUGAUGGAGGGGGAGUAACUACUGGAAACGGUAGCUAAUACCGCAUAACGUCGCAAGACCAAAGAGGGGGACCUUCGGGCCUCUUGCCAUCAGAUGUGCCCAGAUGGGAUUAGCUAGUAGGUGGGGUAACGGCUCACCUAGGUGACGAUCCCUAGCUGGUCUGAGAGGAUGACCAGCCACACUGGAACUGAGACACGGUCCAGACUCCUACGGGAGGCAGCAUG
This 253-nucleotide ribosomal RNA is filed under the name uncultured bacterium. RNAcentral's name for it is "partial 16S ribosomal RNA". It matches the Rfam family "Bacterial small subunit ribosomal RNA", at positions 100 to 353 of the family's 1533-position model. The record is from RNAcentral.